RNAcentral lists this ribosomal RNA (580 nucleotides) under Pseudomonas chlororaphis. Its description in RNAcentral is "bacterial SSU rRNA". It matches the Rfam family "Bacterial small subunit ribosomal RNA", at positions 122 to 698 of the family's 1533-position model. The record is from RNAcentral. Lineage: Bacteria; Pseudomonadati; Pseudomonadota; Gammaproteobacteria; Pseudomonadales; Pseudomonadaceae.
GAAUCUGCCUGGUAGUGGGGGAUAACGUCCGGAAACGGACGCUAAUACCGCAUACGUCCUACGGGAGAAAGCAGGGGACCUUCGGGCCUUGCGCUAUCAGAUGAGCCUAGGUCGGAUUAGCUAGUUGGUGAGGUAAAGGCUCACCAAGGCGACGAUCCGUAACUGGUCUGAGAGGAUGAUCAGUCACACUGGAACUGAGACACGGUCCAGACUCCUACGGGAGGCAGCAGUGGGGAAUAUUGGACAAUGGGCGAAAGCCUGAUCCAGCCAUGCCGCGUGUGUGAAGAAGGUCUUCGGAUUGUAAAGCACUUUAAGUUGGGAGGAAGGGUACUUACCUAAUACGUGAGUAUUUUGACGUUACCGACAGAAUAAGCACCGGCUAACUCUGUGCCAGCAGCCGCGGUAAUACAGAGGGUGCAAGCGUUAAUCGGAAUUACUGGGCGUAAAGCGCGCGUAGGUGGUUCGUUAAGUUGGAUGUGAAAUCCCCGGGCUCAACCUGGGAACUGCAUCCAAACUGGCGAGCUAGAGUAUGGUAGAGGGUGGUGGAAUUUCCUGUGUAGCGGUGAAAUGCGUAGAUAUA